RNAcentral lists this ribosomal RNA (372 nucleotides) under Triticum aestivum (bread wheat). RNAcentral's name for it is "partial small subunit ribosomal RNA". The record is from RNAcentral. Lineage: Eukaryota; Viridiplantae; Streptophyta; Magnoliopsida; Poales; Poaceae.
AUGCUGAUGGGAUGGCUGGCGGAAACAAUACCUCAAACUCAGCAAGCUCUUCAGACAAUGCAAGAGUGUCCUUGGUUUGUAAAAGAGGGAACAUCUGGCGAAGGGGAGCCAUGUAUUUUGCAGCAUUGUAUAUUUUACCGGAGGCAACAUAGAGGAAGGUUGUAUUGUCAAACCCCAUGCCUCGCAGCAUCAUACCAACCUGCUCAAAUUCAGUCAGUUAACAUAUUAGCUCUAGUGAGUAUAUUUACAUAUUUGAAAGCUUCUAAAUUUGUUCUGAAUGCUACUAAAGAGACGCAACUGAUGGCAUUGAACUUAAAGGUUAUUAUUAUUGACCUGAAGCAUCACAAACUAAGCAACAAACUUCAAUUCUAG